CUCAUCUCUACUAAAAUUACAACAAAAAAAGUUAGCUACGCAUGGUGGCGCAUGCUUGUAAUCCCAGCUACUCAGGAGGCUGAGGCAUGAGAAUCACUUGAGCACAGGAGGUGGAGGUUCCAGUGAGCUGAAAUUGCACCACUGCACUCCAGCCUUGGCCACAGAAUGACACUCUGUCCCAAAACAAAACAAAAAAGCCUCCUUAGAUUCAACCUGGAUUCUGGCCUCAGUUCCACUGGUCACCGUUCAGCUAUUUUUCAUCUCUGAGUCUCUGUUUGUUUAACUUGAAAAGGAAGUUAGCAUUUUGCUUGCAGAGGUGCUGAGGAUUAAAUGAGAGAAUACAUGGAAAGCAUUAGGCUUGUAGCACACUUAGCAGAUGGUGGUUGGCUCCCUCUGCUUUUCCACCAGUCUGUGGCCUGCAGUUUAAAUGGUGGGAAGGAGGACAUGUGAUUUGAGACUGGGGAAGGAGGCAUGGGGUUCUAGGCAAGGGAGGAAGUUUCUUAGGCCUGGAGCCAGGGGCCAGAGGCCCAGGCAGGUGACAGAGCCCCACAGUGCUCUCACUACCCUAUUAAUGGUCCCAGAAUCUGGAAGCCAGCCACCACGUGCCCUCAUGCCCAGGGUCUUCCUGCAGCUGGAGCUGAAGAGCCAAGAGUCUCAGAGUCUGCAGCAGCAGCGAGACUAAUACCUGGGUCACCCAGCAGCACGUGGCCACCUAUCAGCAGCUGACCUCCGAGAAGGAGGCGCUGCACAGGGAGUUACUGCUGCAGACCCAGCUCAUGGACCAGCUAUGCAGCAGGAAGCUCGGGCAAAGCGGUGGCUGAGAUGGCCUGCCAAACCUGCAGGAGACCCAGGGGAGGGAGUCGCUGAGGACAGGGCCCCGAGGGGGACAACCUGGCAACCUCCGUGCCUUCUCACUCUGUUUCCCAUCCCCUUAGGAGCACCUAGAAGCUGCCAGCCAGUGGAACCAACAGCUAGAGGCCCACUUGAGCCUCAUGGCUCUCCCUGGAGAAGGAGAUGAAGGAGGACAUCGAGACAGCGAGGAGGAGGAGGCACCUCGGCCCAUGCCACACAUCCCAGAGGACCUGGAGUGCCAGGAGGCCAUGGUGAGUCUGACUGUCCCUGCUCCACUUUGCCACCUUCCUCUGUGGUCCCUGGAAGGAGCCAGAGGCAUGGGCCCCGCCCCAGGGACUGGGGAUGAGUCUGUGUGUGGGGAGAGCUACCGGCCCUGCAGGGGCCAUGGAGAAGCUGAAGAUGAGUGCCCCUGGCGUGGGCCAAGAAAAGUGGGGGCGGGCAGGAUAGGUCACUCCCGAGGUGUGACCCCAUUAUUUUGGCUCCAGAGCAGCUUUAUGGACCUCCCGAAGGAGAAGGCGGACAGGAAGGAGCAGGUGGAAAGACUAGAGCUUGGAUUCAUCCAGCUCUCUGGAGCGACAGAGGGCAUGAGUGAGCAGGAGGCCAGGGCAUGGCAGGGGGAGCUGCAGGGCCGUCGGAGGGGCCCCAGUGUCUGAGCCCUGUCCUCUCGCAGGAGACUACAUCAGCGAAUAUGAGAGCCAGGGGGCAGUGCCAAACACUCGGCACCAGGAGAAGGAGGACGUCAUGGGUCUGGCUCAGAACGAGGAGAUGAAGGUAGAGGGCGUGCAACGUCUCUGCAGGGGUGCGGGUGGGCGUGGGAUGUGAAGCCAGCUCAGGCGUGGCAGCUGAGCACCCCUCCUUGCAGGUGAAGCUGCUGGAGCUGCAGAAGCUGGUGUUGCCGCUUGUGUGCAACCACGAGGGGCAUGACAAAUUCCCCUCCGCUGCCCAGAACCGUGGUGAUGAGCCCGCUCUAGGGCCCCAGCCCCCAGGAGCUUGGGGCUGCGGAGGAGCAGGGUGGUGAGUAGCGCCUCAGGCGGGUGGGCAGGCAGGAGCAGGGGAGGCUCGCACUGUGCUCAGACCCCCGCCUCCCUCUCUCCCAAGAUCUUUGUGAGGUGAGCCUGGCCCACAGCGUGGAGCCUGCAGUGGGAGAGGCCAGGGAGGGUUCUCCCCGUGGCAACCCCACCACAGAGAAGAUCGUGCAGCUGCUUCCUGUAAUGCAGGACACCCAGGAGCACCCAGGCUUGGCCAGCAAACCCUCGCGUCCCUUUCUACCGGGCAGCGGAGAACAGGGAGAUCAACAUCGUCAUCAUCUGAGAGCUGGUCAAGAAAUUGAAAACAACAACAACAACAACAACGAAAAGUUAUGGGGUUAAUCCCCUGCACAAUUCAUUUACCUCAUUUGAAUGUUACAGCCCCUCAUGUUUAUUUGUGUUUCUAAUUUACAGUUUAAAUUUAUUUAUAAAAAGUUAAGGGAGAGUGGCUCUUUCCCUAAUGUUCACUGUGGCAUCCUUUAGCAUUUUUGUUUUUACUUUGAUAAUUGUAGGUCUUGAGCGUGCAUAUCGAGUUUGCCCUCAGGUGGUGGGAGUUCAAACACACAAAGACCCACUGUUUGCACAAAACUAUUCUUGCUGGUUUGGAAUAGGCUGCCGUGCUUUUUUUACUGUUAUUGCAGCAUGUAUAUUCAUUACAGAAUUCAGAUAAAAUUCGCUUGUGUUCUGCUAUUAUGUUUGAUGGAAUCCUAAUCACAGUGAGCUCUUCAUUAGCUCAAUAUGUGGUUUGCCCUCAAGUGCGCACUGUUUCUUACUUUGUAAUAUGCCCCUGUGAGUACUGACAUUUAGAGUUGUUUAAAGGCCGAGAACUGGAAACAGCCUUUCCCCUAUUUUCUGUGUAUUGGGGAUGGGAGGAAUAACAUUUUGGGGAGCUUUUUAAAUCUCACAGAAGAGGAAAGUGGCCUGCUCUGGCAGGUGUGUGCAGGAUAGAGUGUGUUUCAUUUGUUCUGGUGCCAGGAAUGAGCGCAGUACUAUGGUAGUUCCCUGAGGAUUUGUACGUGCUCUGGGCUCCUGAAGAUAUCGCAGCAUGAGCUGCAGCAGUUGGACUCUUUCUCAGUGACCUAAAAGGGAUUAUUUCUGAGGAAUGAAAGGCUCCCGUCAUUGACUGUGGAUGUGGAAAAUCUUUUCUAGCUUAGAGCCUUUAUAUCUACAAUACUUUAAAGUCAGAGUUCAUAUUACCUGUUUUAAUCACAUGACUACAAGUCCCAGUAUGCAAAAGGGCACUGGUUGGCAUUCUUCUUAAUGUAUUUAGUGAAGAUCAUAAGAAAUCCUUUCAGAGUUUAAAUGUCCCUGGAACAGGCAUACAGGCUCUAGUCAAGAAUGAAUGCGAGUGAAGGAAAGCUGUGUGACACCUGGCAUUCCUCUAUGUUCAUGGAGCUUCUUUGAGGCUAGAAGAUUGAUUUUACCAUCUAGACCUCUCUGGCUAAUACCUAUUCUUUAUUGAUUACUCUGACAUAGGAAUUUACUUAUUUUCCUUGAAUGGAAAACAUUGUAAAAACAAUAACAACCAUUAUUAAAACCAGUAUAUAUGAGAGUACUUAGUUGAAACAAAAAGGAGAUUUAGUAGACAGUAUUACACUACAUUUGAAAAUCAAGGGGAAGUUUAUGCAACUUAAAAUGUUUACAAGCUGCUGUGCAAUCUACUGUUUGUGAAGCUCAAAGUAUUAUGAGGAAAAGUGUCUAUACCAUCACAGAGUUAUGUCUCCUCACAAAGUUCUUUACGAAGAGUGAAAUAUGUUUUUAUACCUCUCGGUUUCAGUUAGAGGCAUAUUUUGUGCCCUAUUUAUGUUAAUGUGUCGUACAUGAUGAAUGAAUUCUUUCAGUCAUACAUUGCCUAAAUCAUAACUUAGAGGCUAUGAUGAGCCAGAUCAUACCACUGCACUCCAGGCUGGGCAAAAAAAGGGAACUCCAUCCUCAAAAAAAAAAACCUAUAAUAAUAAUAGAAAUCAAAGUGUAUAGAUUAUAAUGUACCAUAGACAGGCGGGACGCAGUGGCUCAUGCCUGUAAUCCCAGCACUUUGGGAGGCCAAGGCAGGUGGAUCACCUGAGGUCAGGAGUUCGAGAUCAGUCUGGUCAACAUGGUGAAACCCUGUCUCUACUAAAAAUACAAAAAUUAGCUGGGCAUGGUGGUGGGUGACUGUAAUCCCAGCUACUUGGGAGGCUGAAGCAGGAGAAUAGCUUGAACCUGGGAGGUGGAGAUUGCAGUGAGCUGAGAUCAUGCCAUUGCACUCCAGCCUGGGGGACAAGAAGAAAACUCUGUCAAAAAAAGAAAAGAGGAAGGAAGGAAGGAAGGAAGGAAGGAAAAGAAAGAGGGAGGGAGGGAAGGAAGGAAGGAAGAGAAAGAAAGAGGGAAGGAAGGAAGGAAGAGAAAGAGGGAAGGAAGGAAGGAAGGAAGGGAGACCAUAUUCAUACUAGUAGCUGCUUAUGACUAAUACAAGGACGAGGAUUAGAAGGGAUUCCAACUUUAUAAUACAUUCUUUCUUUUAUAUAAUAAUAAUAAUAAUAAAGGCAGCCAGGCACAGUGUCUCAUGCCUGUAAACCUAGUGCUUUGGGAGGCUGAGGUGGGAGGAUCAUUUGAGCCCAGGAAUUCGAGACCAGCCUGCGCCACAGAGCAAGACUCCAUCUCUACAAAAUCUUUAAAACAAUUAGCCAGGUAUGGUAGCCUGUGCCUCUAGUCCCAGUUACUAGGGAGGCUAAGGCAAGAAAAUCAUGUGAGCCCAGGAGGUCGAGGCUGCAGUGAGC
Molecule: long non-coding RNA, 4639 nt
Filed under: Macaca fascicularis (crab-eating macaque)
Lineage: Eukaryota; Metazoa; Chordata; Mammalia; Primates; Cercopithecidae
Description: lncRNA (ENSMFAG00000065402.1)
Rfam family: mir-1233 microRNA precursor family (bases 1441-1522)
Source: RNAcentral